UACGUAGGGGCCGAGCGUUGUCCGGAGUUAUUGGGCGUAAAGCGCGCGCAGGCGGCUUCGCGCGCCCGACGUGAAAGCCCCCGGCUUAACCGGGGAGAGUCGUUGGGGACGGCGGAGCUUGAGGGCGGGAGAGGCCGAUGGAAUUCCCGGUGUAGCGGUGGAAUGCGUAGAUAUCGGGAAGAACACCAGUGGCGAAGGCGGUCGGCUGGACGGCACCUGACGCUGAGGCGCGAAAGCUAGGGGAGCGAACAGG
RNAcentral lists this ribosomal RNA (253 nucleotides) under uncultured bacterium. RNAcentral's name for it is "partial 16S ribosomal RNA". It matches the Rfam family "Bacterial small subunit ribosomal RNA", at positions 524 to 776 of the family's 1533-position model. The record is from RNAcentral.